Molecule: transfer RNA, 71 nt
Filed under: Stegodyphus mimosarum
Lineage: Eukaryota; Metazoa; Arthropoda; Arachnida; Araneae; Eresidae
Rfam family: tRNA
About the family: Transfer RNA (tRNA) molecules are approximately 80 nucleotides in length. Their secondary structure includes four short double-helical elements and three loops (D, anti-codon, and T loops). Further hydrogen bonds mediate the characteristic L-shaped molecular structure. tRNAs have two regions of fundamental functional importance: the anti-codon, which is responsible for specific mRNA codon recognition, and the 3' end, to which the tRNAs corresponding amino acid is attached (by aminoacyl-tRNA synthetases). tRNAs cope with the degeneracy of the genetic code in two manners: having more than one tRNA (with a specific anti-codon) for a particular amino acid; and 'wobble' base-pairing, i.e. permitting non-standard base-pairing at the 3rd anti-codon position.
Source: Rfam by way of RNAcentral
GCCUUCGUGGUAUAACGGUAGCACACUCGGCGUGUAUUCGACAGGCCCAGGUUCGAGUCCCGGCGAGCGCA